UCUACGGAGAGUUUGAUCCUGGCUCAGGACGAACGCUGGCGGCGUGCUUAACACAUGCAAGUCGAGCGGUAAGGCA
This 76-nucleotide ribosomal RNA is filed under the name Actinomycetota bacterium. RNAcentral's name for it is "Actinobacteria bacterium partial 16S ribosomal RNA". It matches the Rfam family "Bacterial small subunit ribosomal RNA", at positions 1 to 76 of the family's 1533-position model. The record is from RNAcentral. Lineage: Bacteria; Bacillati; Actinomycetota.